GCGCCUGGUUUCUGACAAGCAGUUAAGAACAUCUCUGAGUGUCCUCAGAAACACUUGAUGACGUCGUUUCUCCUGGCACUGGGAAACAUCUACAAGUCUGAGAUAAACAAGCUGGCUGACCCUCAGGUGCCUGAUAGUCAAACAGGAUACCUGCCCACUAUGUCUAUCCGCAGGCUUUUGUGCAGCCGGGAGUGGUCAUUCCACAUGUCCAGCCGACAGCAGCUGCCGCCUCCACCACCCCUUACAUUGAUUACACUGGAGCUGCAUACGCACAAUACUCAGCAGCUGCUGCUGCUGCCGCCGCCGCUGCUGCCUAUGACCAGUACCCCUAUGCAGCCUCUCCAGCUGCUGCAGGAUAUGUUACUGCUGGGGGCUAUGGCUACGCAGUCCAGCAGCCAAUCACCGCAGCGGCACCUGGGACAGCUGCCGCCGCCGCUGCAGCAGCUGCUGCCGCUGCAGCAUUUGGCCAGUACCAGCCUCAGCAGCUGCAGACAGACCGAAUGCAAUAGACCAGCCAUCUGAUCAAAGUUGAAUUGUUUUCUCUUUCCCUCCCAAUUUUCCAAUUUUUAGUAGCUAAUAAGAGAGUUAACAUUGACUUAACAGCUUUAAAAAAAAAAAAAAAACAGCCAUGCUAUUGUGAAGCAGAGUUAUUAUUUUUUUUAUACUCCAGGUAGUGUUCUAGAUGAGAAAGAGGUAAGAAUGAGGGGAAUGGGCACAAUUUUGGAAAUCAAUCCCAAAGAGCCUGAGUAAAUGAAAGGCCACUACGAAAUGACGCCAGGAGUAACAACGGAACUUCACUUUUGUAACGGGAUUUUUAUUUUUGCUCUUUUUAUAGUAUCAGGGAAGCAAACUGCCUUUUACAAGUUAGAAAAUGCUGUUUGAAUCUAGUUGAACCAGGGAAUACAGAGCGAGCAAUAUGUAGCUUGAAUUACAUUUAAAAGCAGAUUUUUUACAAACAAAAUGGCGAAAGCACUGAUUGUCAUUUUUAGCAGUCACUUAAGGCCUAUAGAACUUUUUUCAAGUCGGAAGGUCCUGUUCUUACUAUCUCAAAAAUGGGCAUCGAACAGUCAAUCUAGGAGCGUGGCAGUGGGUAAAAUGGUGGACAGGCACCAAAGCUAUUUUCUCAUCUGUCCUGUGGAUGAGUGGAACUGUGGAACAAGUGAUGUGGAAUUAAUGGGUGCAACAGCUGUACAGACAAUCAAUAACACACACAGUUCUGGAAAGAACACAUCACUUGUGCUUGUUUGAUGAGCUUGUCACAUUCUAAUCCCUCUCCCCAUCCUGUUUCAAUUUUGGGAAACUUGUAUCUGCUGGUGUCAGCAAUUCUGAUUCUGAAAUAGGAUCAGGCUUUUACUACAACAGCCUUCUCUUUCUAUUUAUUGUGUCGACUCGUGGCUUAUGAAUAAAGGCAGGCAAAG
Molecule: small RNA, 1418 nt
Filed under: Pan troglodytes (chimpanzee)
Lineage: Eukaryota; Metazoa; Chordata; Mammalia; Primates; Hominidae
Description: processed transcript
Source: RNAcentral